AGUUGGAAACGACUGUUAAUACCGCAUAAUAUCUGUGGAUUAAAGGUGGCUUUCGGGCUGUCGCAGAUGGAUGAGCCUGCGUUGGAUUAGCUAGUUGGUGGGGUAAGGGCCCACCAAGGCUACGAUCCAUAGCUGAUUUGAGAGGAUGAUCAGCCACAUUGGGACUGAGACACGGCCCAAACUCCUACGGGAGGCAGCAGUGGGGAAUAUUGGACAAUGGGGGCAACCCUGAUCCAGCAAUGCCAUGUGUGUGAAGAAGGCCUUAGGGUUGUAAAGCACUUUAGUUGGGGAGGAAAGCCUCAAGGUUAAUAGCCUUGGGGGAGGACGUUACCCAAAGAAUAAGCACCGGCUAACUCCGUGCCAGCAGCCGCGGUAAUACGGGGGGUGCAAGCGUUAAUCGGAAUUACUGGGCGUAAAGGGUCUGUAGGUGGUUUGUUAAGUCAGAUGUGAAAGCCCAGGGCUCAACCUUGGAACUGCAUUUGAUACUGGCAAACUAGAGUACGGUAGAGGAAUGGGGAAUUUCUGGUGUAGCGGUGAAAUGCGUAGAGAUCAGAAGGAACACCAAUGGCGAAGGCAACAUUCUGGACCGAUACUGACACUGAGGGACGAAAGCGUGGGGAUCAAACAGGAUUAGAUACCCUGGUAGUCCACGCUGUAAACGAUGAGUACUAGCUGUUGGAGUCGGUGUAAAGGCUCUAGUGGCGCAGCUAACGCGAUAAGUACUCCGCCUGGGGACUACGGCCGCAAGGCUAAAACUCAAAGGAAUUGACGGGGACCCGCACAAGCGGUGGAGCAUGUGGUUUAAUUCGAUGCAACGCGAAGAACCUUACCUGGUCUUGACAUCCUGCGAACUUUCUAGAGAUAGAUUGGUGCCUUCGGGAACGCAGUGACAGGUGCUGCACGGCUGUCGUCAGCUCGUGUUGUGAAAUGUUGGGUUAAGUCCCGCAACGAGCGCAACCCCUAUUGAUAGUUACCAUCAUUAAGUUGGGUACUCUAUUGAGACUGCCGCUGACAAGGCGGAGGAAGGUGGGGACGACGUCAAGUCAUCAUGGCCCUUACGACCAGGGCUACACACGUGCUACAAUGGGUAUUACAGAGGGCUGCGAAGGUGCGAGCUGGAGCGAA
RNAcentral lists this ribosomal RNA (1125 nucleotides) under uncultured Pseudomonadota bacterium. Its description in RNAcentral is "bacterial SSU rRNA". It matches the Rfam family "Bacterial small subunit ribosomal RNA", at positions 148 to 1271 of the family's 1533-position model. Lineage: Bacteria; Pseudomonadati; Pseudomonadota. The record is from RNAcentral.